Molecule: long non-coding RNA, 293 nt
Filed under: Mytilus galloprovincialis (Mediterranean mussel)
Lineage: Eukaryota; Metazoa; Mollusca; Bivalvia; Mytilida; Mytilidae
Source: RNAcentral
CUCCCAUUCUACAUACAAAAGUAUAUAGAAACUAUAUAUAUUUGGAAUCAGUGUGAAAGAAGCUAUCAUAUGAGACCGGAAGUGACAUUCAUUUCACCGGAAGUAGCAUAUUAUCUCCCUUAUAUCACUCAAAAAUAUAAUUAAACCAUUAUUUAUCGCAUCAGUAUGAAGAAACUAUCUUUUUAUCAAAAUUUCUUUGAUGUGGAAAGACUUUCAAUUGUUCUCUGAACAAUUGGUUUUUAAUUAAGUCUUUCCACUUUUCUGUGGAAAGACUUAUUGUUUUCGUUCUGAUU